This 25-nucleotide non-coding RNA is filed under the name Cricetulus griseus (Chinese hamster). Lineage: Eukaryota; Metazoa; Chordata; Mammalia; Rodentia; Cricetidae. The record is from RNAcentral.
GUUCCUGAUUUUUGCUUGAUUGUAG